AGUGAACGCUGGCGGUAGGCCUAACACAUGCAAGUCGAACGGCAGCACAGUAAGAGCUUGCUCUUACGGGUGGCGAGUGGCGGACGGGUGAGGAAUACAUCGGAAUCUACUUUUUCGUGGGGGGUAACGUAGGGAAACUUACGCUAAUACCGCAUACGACCUACGGGUGAAAGCAGGGGAUCUUGGACCUUGCGCGAUUGAAUGAGCCGAUGUCGGAUUAGCUAGUUGGCGGGGUAAAGGCCCACCAAGGCGACGAUCCGUAGCUGGUCUGAGAGGAUGAUCAGCCACACUGGAACUGAGACACGGUCCAGACUCCUACGGGAGGCAGCAGUGGGGAAUAUUGGACAAUGGGCGCAAGCCUGAUCCAGCCAUACCGCGUGGGUGAAGAAGGCCUUCGGGUUGUAAAGCCCUUUUGUUGGGAAAGAAAAGCAGCAGGUUAAUACCCCGCUGUUCUGACGGUACCCAAAGAAUAAGCACCGGCUAACUUCGUG
RNAcentral lists this ribosomal RNA (491 nucleotides) under uncultured bacterium. RNAcentral describes it as "partial 16S ribosomal RNA". It matches the Rfam family "Bacterial small subunit ribosomal RNA", at positions 29 to 507 of the family's 1533-position model. The record is from RNAcentral.